RNAcentral lists this transfer RNA (89 nucleotides) under Sphaerisporangium siamense. RNAcentral's name for it is "tRNA-Ile". Lineage: Bacteria; Bacillati; Actinomycetota; Actinomycetes; Streptosporangiales; Streptosporangiaceae. The record is from RNAcentral.
CGGUGCUGGCCAAGGCGGUCGCCGCCCGGCUGAUCACCGGGCUGGCCGACGCGCUGGCCGCCAAGGGCUCGGCGCACCUGGUGCUGACC